RNAcentral lists this transfer RNA (76 nucleotides) under Verrucomicrobiota bacterium. RNAcentral's name for it is "Verrucomicrobia bacterium (wastewater metagenome) tRNA-Lys". It matches the Rfam family "tRNA". Rfam says of the family: Transfer RNA (tRNA) molecules are approximately 80 nucleotides in length. Their secondary structure includes four short double-helical elements and three loops (D, anti-codon, and T loops). Lineage: Bacteria; Pseudomonadati; Verrucomicrobiota. RNAcentral also lists the same sequence under 5 other names. The record is from RNAcentral.
GCCUCGGUAGCUCAGUUGGUAGAGCAGUUGACUCUUAAUCAAUUGGUCGUGGGUUCGAAUCCCCCCCGGGGCACCA